AUGGGCAGAGGCGGGUCCAGGCCGGGGAAACGCAGGAAGGGGCCGGGUCCCCAAACAGCCCCGCCCCGUCCCGAUGUCACCUUUGGGGACAACGUCGAUGACCUGAUGGAUUCCCUGGGACUCAGCAGCGGCGCCGAUGGAGCCGGGAGCGCGCCGGGAACGCCGGGGGGCCAGGGGCUCCGGAAGGGCCGCGCCGGGAUCCAGGAGCAGCCGGGAAAGGCGGAAUUCCAGCCGGAUCCCAAGGGGCAGGAGCAGCCAGGGCCGGGUGGGGCCCGGAUCCAGCCGGGUUUUCCCUUUGGAUCCUACGAGCCCUCGGUGGCCUCGGGGACAGCGCGGAGACGGGAACGGAGGUGUCCGGCUGGGAGCAGCUCCCGACGUCCCUCCGGGGCCACCUGGCUGGGGCUCAAGGACGAGGAUUUCCUGGAAUUAGGGGACGAGGAUUUCCCGGGAUUGGGACAGAAGGGAAAGGAUUUCCCGGGAUUGGGAUCAAAGGACAAGGAUUUCCUAGGACUGGGAUCGAAGGAUGAGGAUUCCCCAGGACUGGGAUCGAAGAACAAGGAUUUCCCGGGAUUGGGACUGAAGGACGAGGAUUCCCCAGGAUUGGGAUCUAAGAACAAGGAUCCCCCAGGAUUGGGAUCUAAGAACAAGGAUUUCCCAGGAUUGGGAUCGAAGGACGAGAAUCCCCCAGGACUGGGAUUGAAGAACAAGGAUUUCCCGGGAUUGGGACUGAAGGACGAGGAUUCCCCAGGAUUGGGAUCGAAGAAACAGGAUUUCCCAGGACUGGGAUCAAAGGACACGGAUUUCCCGGGACUGGGACAGGACAAGGAUUUUCUGGGACUGAAGAGCAAAGAUCCUCCAGGAUUGGGAUCGAAGAACAAGGAUUUCCCGGGAUUGGGAUGGGAGGAUGAUAAGGAUUCCCCAGGGCUGGGAUCAAAGAACGAGGAUUUCCCAGGAUUGGGAUCGAAGAACAAGGAUUUCCUGGGAUUGGGACAGAAGGACGAGGAUUCCCAGAAGGACAAGGAUUCCCGGAAGGACAAGGAUUCCCAGAAGGACGAGCAUUCCCAGAAGGAUGAGGCUCCCGCCGCCCCGGGAUCCCCGCGGGGACGGGGCUGGCUCGGCGCUGCCCCGGCCCCAAAGUGGUGCCCGGCGGAGCCUCCGGAGCCCCCCGAGCCCGGCAGGUAA
This 1182-nucleotide long non-coding RNA is filed under the name Taeniopygia guttata (zebra finch). Its description in RNAcentral is "lncRNA (ENSTGUG00000025884.1)". Lineage: Eukaryota; Metazoa; Chordata; Aves; Passeriformes; Estrildidae. The record is from RNAcentral.